This 430-nucleotide ribosomal RNA is filed under the name Bacillota bacterium. RNAcentral's name for it is "Firmicutes bacterium partial 16S ribosomal RNA". It matches the Rfam family "Bacterial small subunit ribosomal RNA", at positions 355 to 776 of the family's 1533-position model. Lineage: Bacteria; Bacillati; Bacillota. The record is from RNAcentral.
UGGGGAAUAUUGGACAAUGGGCGCAAGCCUGAUCCAGCCAUGCCGCGUGUGUGAAGAAGGCCUUUUGGUUGUAAAGCACUUUAAGCGAGGAGGAGGCUACUUGGAUUAAUACUCUAGGAUAGUGGACGUUACUCGCAGAAUAAGCACCGGCUAACUCUGUGCCAGCAGCCGCGGUAAUACAGAGGGUGCGAGCGUUAAUCGGAUUUACUGGGCGUAAAGCGUGCGUAGGCGGCUUUUUAAGUCGGAUGUGAAAUCCCUGAGCUUAACUUAGGAAUUGCAUUCGAUACUGGGAAGCUAGAGUAUGGGAGAGGAUGGUAGAAUUCCAGGUGUAACGGUGAAAUGCGUAGAGAUCUGGAGGAAUACCGAUGGCGAAGGCAGCCAUCUGGCCUAAUACUGACGCUGAGGUACGAAAGCAUGGGGAGCAAACAGG